This 64-nucleotide transfer RNA is filed under the name Leptestheria dahalacensis. RNAcentral's name for it is "tRNA-Met". The record is from RNAcentral. Lineage: Eukaryota; Metazoa; Arthropoda; Branchiopoda; Diplostraca; Leptestheriidae.
AGAAAAGUAAGCUAAAUUAAGCUAAUGGGCUCAUACCCCAUUGAUGGAUUUAAUCCCUUUUCUA